UUGCAUAGACACAGAUCAAAGCUGAGAG
This 28-nucleotide non-coding RNA is filed under the name Mus musculus (house mouse). Lineage: Eukaryota; Metazoa; Chordata; Mammalia; Rodentia; Muridae. The record is from RNAcentral.